Molecule: ribosomal RNA, 240 nt
Filed under: uncultured bacterium
Lineage: Bacteria
Description: partial 16S ribosomal RNA
Rfam family: Bacterial small subunit ribosomal RNA
Source: RNAcentral
CUCUUCGGGGUUAGUGGCGGACGGGUGAGUAACACGUGGGAACGUGCCUUUAGGUUCGGAACAACACAGGGAAACUUGUGCUAAUACCGAAUGUGCCCUUCGGGGGAAAGAUUUAUCGCCUUUAGAGCGGCCCGCGUCUGAUUAGCUUGUUGGUGGGGUAAAGGCUCACCAAGGCUACGAUCAGUAGCUGGUCUGAGAGGAUGGCCAGCCACAUUGGGACUGAGACACGGCCCAAACUCC